Molecule: ribosomal RNA, 774 nt
Filed under: uncultured Neocallimastigales
Lineage: Eukaryota; Fungi; Neocallimastigomycota; Neocallimastigomycetes; Neocallimastigales
Description: partial large subunit ribosomal RNA
Rfam family: Eukaryotic large subunit ribosomal RNA
Source: RNAcentral
CGCAUCUGUGCAUGCAGCAUAUCAAUAAGCGGAGGAAAAGAAACUAACAAGGAUUCCCCUAGUAACGGCGAGUGAAGCGGGAAGAGCUCAAAUUUGAAAUCUUAAAGGGUUUCCCUUUACGAAUUGUAGUUUAAAGAAGUGUUUUCUGUUGAGGUUUUGGUAAAAGUUCUUUGGAAUAGGACAUCAUAGAGGGUGAGAAUCCCGUAUUUGACCUUUACUUUCAACUUUGUGAUACACUUUCAAAGAGUCGGAUUGUUUGGGAAUGCAGUCCAAAAUGGGUGGUAAAUUUCAUCUAAAGCUAAAUAUUGGCGAGAGACCGAUAGCGAACAAGUACCGUGAGGGAAAGAUGAAAAGAACUUUGAAAAGAGAGUUAAACAGUACGUGAAAUUGUCAAAAGGGAAGCGUUUGACACCAGUGUUGUUUUUCUGAAAAUCAAUUAAAGAACUGUUUAUGCUAAGUUGUUUAGACUUUAUCAGCUAAUCUGCUUAGUUUUGAGCUUUUCUUUAAUGCACUUUUCAGUUAACAAGUCAACAUCAAUUUCUUUUGCUGUAAAAAAGCUUGAGGAAGGUGGCUUGAGAUUCGUCUUAAGUGUUUAUAGCCUCUUGCCUAUGCAGUCGGAGAGAUUGAGGUCUGCAGCGUAGAUCCUUCGGGGCUAAAUGCAUUUGUGCUAAGUUAUAGCAUUUUAUAGACAACUUGUUGACUAUGAUUGUCUUGUAGCUUACUCGCUUAUGUUAUUUUACCUACGCUUAGGAUGUUGAGCGCAUGUCUCUCUCU